This 720-nucleotide ribosomal RNA is filed under the name uncultured bacterium. RNAcentral describes it as "bacterial SSU rRNA". It matches the Rfam family "Bacterial small subunit ribosomal RNA", at positions 86 to 831 of the family's 1533-position model. The record is from RNAcentral.
GAAGACCUAGUGGCGAACGGGUGAGUAACACGUGAGGAACCUGCCCCGAAGACCGGGAUAACCCUCCGAAAGGAGAGCUAAUACCGGAUACCCCCAUUUGAUCGCAUGAUCGGAUGAGGAAAUGGAUUCCGCUUCGGGAGGGCCUCGCGGCCUAUCAGCUUGUUGGCGGGGUAACGGCCCACCAAGGCAUCGACGGGUAGCUGGUCUGAGAGGACGAUCAGCCACACUGGGACUGAGACACGGCCCAGACUCCUACGGGAGGCAGCAGUGGGGAAUCUUGCGCAAUGGGCGAAAGCCUGACGCAGCAACGCCGCGUGGGGGAUGAAGGCUCUCGGGUUGUAAACCCCUUUCAGCAGGGACGAACUAAGACAGUACCUGCAGAACAAGCCCCGGCUAACUACGUGCCAGCAGCCGCGGUAACACGUAUGGGGCAAGCGUUGUCCGGAUUUAUUGGGCGUAAAGAGCUCGUAGGCGGCUCGGUAAGUCGGGUGUUAAAUCCCCAGGCUCAACCUGGGACACCACCCGAUACUGCUGUGGCUAGAGUCCGGUAGGGGAGCGUGGAAUUCCUGGUGUAGCGGUGAAAUGCGCAGAUAUCAGAGAACACCAGCGGCGAAGCGGCGCUCUGGGCCGAACUGACGCUGAGACGAAGCGUGGUAGCAACAGGAUUAGAUAACCCUGGUAGUCCACGCCGUAAACGUUGGGCACUAGUGUUGGGGUCUA